RNAcentral lists this ribosomal RNA (393 nucleotides) under uncultured bacterium. Its description in RNAcentral is "partial 16S ribosomal RNA". It matches the Rfam family "Bacterial small subunit ribosomal RNA", at positions 523 to 918 of the family's 1533-position model. The record is from RNAcentral.
AUACGGAGGAUGCAAGCGUUAUCCGGAUUUAUUGGGUUUAAAGGGUGCGUAGGCGGUUUGCUAAGCGGGAGGUGAAAUGCCGGCGCUCAACGUCGGAAGUGCCUCCCGAACUGGUGGACUGGAAUGACUCUGCCGUGGGAGGAAUGUGUAGUGUAGCGGUGAAAUGCUUAGAGAUUACACAGAACACCGAUUGCGAAGGCAUCUCACGAAGGGUAGAUUGACGCUGAGGCACAAAAGCGUGUGGAUCAAACAGGAUUAGAUACCCUGGUAGUCCACGCAGUAAACGAUGAUGGCUAACCGCUGGGCGUAUCAGUUCAGUGGCCAAGCGAAAGCGAGAAGCCAUCAACCUGGGGAGUACGGCCGCACCGCUGAAACUCAAAUGAAUGUUCGGUG